This 70-nucleotide transfer RNA is filed under the name Dipodomys ordii (Ord's kangaroo rat). It matches the Rfam family "tRNA". Rfam says of the family: Transfer RNA (tRNA) molecules are approximately 80 nucleotides in length. Their secondary structure includes four short double-helical elements and three loops (D, anti-codon, and T loops). Lineage: Eukaryota; Metazoa; Chordata; Mammalia; Rodentia; Heteromyidae. The record is from Rfam by way of RNAcentral.
GGGAAUGUGAAUUAGUGGUAGAGUGCUUGCCUAGCAUGCAUGAGGCCCUGGGUUUCAUUCCUCAUUCCCA